UGGAAGGCAUCAGUUUCCUUGUUGAUCAUGGAUUUGGAGGAGGCAAAGGGUACUAAAUAAGUCGGCCACCAAGAAUGAUAAAAGCCAACCUUUGGCUUCUGAAGAAAUAUACGACCGGCAACUAAGAGGAGAAUUGGAGAUUGCAGUCGCAAGAAGAGAAGAAAAAAAUAGAAGCAGAGUUAAGUCUUUUGAAUUAAUCUCCAUGAUUGGUUUUAUCAACUCUUUUAUUUCCAAUUCAAUUAUAUUAGGCUAAAUUUUCUAUUUGGUUGAGGGUGAAUUCAAA
Molecule: long non-coding RNA, 283 nt
Filed under: Citrus maxima (pomelo)
Lineage: Eukaryota; Viridiplantae; Streptophyta; Magnoliopsida; Sapindales; Rutaceae
Description: long non-coding RNA (CMAX_LNC002320)
Source: RNAcentral